UUCCGGUUGAUCCUGCCGGAGGUUACUGCUAUCGAGGUUCGACUAAGCCAUGCGAGUCGAAUGUAGCAAUACAUGGCGAACUGCUCAGUAACACGUGGACAACCUGCCCUUAGGUUGGGUAUAAACCCGGGAAACUGGGUAUAAUACCCGAUAGGUCUCGAUUGCUGGAAUGCAUCGAGAUUUAAAGCUCCGGCGCCUAAGGAUGGGUCUGCGGCCUAUCAGGUAGUAGUGGGUGUAGCGUACCUACUAGCCUACGACGGGUACGGGUUGUGAGAGCAAGAGCCCGGAGAUGGAUUCUGAGACACGAAUCCAGGCCCUACGGGGUGCAGCAGGCGCGAAAACUUUACAAUGCUGGUAACAGCGAUAAGGGAACCUCGAGUGCCAGGUUACAAAUCUGGCUGUCGAGAUGCCUAAAAAGCAUUUCAUAGCAAGGGCCGGGCAAGACCGGUGCCAGCCGCCGCGGUAACACCGGCGGCUCGAGUGGUAACCGUUAUUAUUGGGUCUAAAGGGUCUGUAGCCGGCCGGAUAAGUCUCUUGAGAAAUCUGGCAGCUUAACUGUCAGGCUUUCAGGAGAUACUGUCUGGCUCGAGGCCGGGAGAGGUGAGAGGUACUUCAGGGGUAGGGGUGAAAUCUUGUAAUCCUUGAAGGACCACCAGUGGCGAAGGCGUCUCACCAGAACGGACCUGACGGCAAGGGACGAAAGCUAGGGGCACGAACCGGAUUAGAUACCCGGGUAGUCCUAGCCGUAAACGAUACUCGCUAGGUGUCGGCCACGGUGCGACCGUUGUCGGUGCCGUAGGGAAGCCGUGAAGCGAGCCACCUGGGAAGUACGGCCGCAAGGCUGAAACUUAAAGGAAUUGGCGGGGGAGCACCACAACGGGUGGAGCUUGCGGUUUAAUU
RNAcentral lists this ribosomal RNA (900 nucleotides) under bacterium enrichment culture clone F10 1.694-A5. RNAcentral's name for it is "bacterial SSU rRNA". It matches the Rfam family "Archaeal small subunit ribosomal RNA", at positions 1 to 907 of the family's 1478-position model. The record is from RNAcentral.